Molecule: non-coding RNA, 102 nt
Filed under: Brevibacillus sp.
Lineage: Bacteria; Bacillati; Bacillota; Bacilli; Caryophanales; Paenibacillaceae
Description: Guanine sequence
Rfam family: Purine riboswitch aptamer
About the family: Riboswitches are metabolite binding domains within certain messenger RNAs that serve as precision sensors for their corresponding targets. Allosteric rearrangement of mRNA structure is mediated by ligand binding, and this results in modulation of gene expression.
Source: RNAcentral
AUAAACCGCAUACGAAGUGCUCGUAUAAUUUUGGGAAUAAGGCCCAACAGUUUCUACCGGGUGACCGUAAAUCACCUGACUACGAGUGAAAUCGCGUUCCAU